CACGUAGGCGGCUUUCUAAGUCAGGGGUGAAAUCCUGGAGCUCAACUCCAGAACUGCCUUUGAUACUGGGAAGCUCGAGUCCGGAAGAGGUGAGUGGAACUGCGAGUGUAGAGGUGAAAUUCGUAGAUAUUCGCAAGAACACCAGUGGCGAAGGCGGCUCACUGGUCCGGUACUGACGCUGAGGUGCGAAAGCGUGGGGAGCAAACA
This 207-nucleotide ribosomal RNA is filed under the name uncultured bacterium. Its description in RNAcentral is "partial 16S ribosomal RNA". It matches the Rfam family "Bacterial small subunit ribosomal RNA", at positions 568 to 774 of the family's 1533-position model. The record is from RNAcentral.